This 400-nucleotide ribosomal RNA is filed under the name uncultured bacterium. RNAcentral's name for it is "partial 16S ribosomal RNA". It matches the Rfam family "Bacterial small subunit ribosomal RNA", at positions 360 to 776 of the family's 1533-position model. The record is from RNAcentral.
AAUAUUGCCCAAUGGGGGAAACCCUGAGGCAGCAACGCCGCGUGGAGGAAGAAGGUCUUUGGAUUGUAAACUCCUUUUCUGGGGGAAGAGCAAGGACGGUACCCCAGGAAUAAGUCACGGCUAACUACGUGCCAGCAGCCGCGGUAAUACGUAGGUGGCGAGCGUUGUCCGGAAUUAUUGGGCGUAAAGCGCGCGCAGGCGGUUUCUUAAGUCUGGUGUGAAAGCCCGCAGCUCAACUGCGGAGGGCCACUGGAAACUGGGAAGCUUGAGUGUAGGAGAGGAGAGCGGAAUUCCACGUGUAGCGGUGAAAUGCGUAGAUAUGUGGAGGAACACCCGUGGCGAAAGCGGCUCUCUGGCCUAUAACUGACGCUGAGGCGCGAAAGCGUGGGGAGCGAACAGG